UACAGCUGUGAUGAGUGUGGGAAGGAUUUUACCCGGGCUGGAGACUUAAAAACACACCAACUCAUCCACAGUGGAGUUAAAGCUUACAGCUGUGAGUCGUGUGGAAAAUCUUUUACCCAGGCUGGAAACUUGAAACGACACCAGCUCACCCACAGUGGAGUUAAAGCAUACAGCUGUGAGUUGUGUCGAAAAUCUUUUAACCAGGCUGGACACUUGAAAAGACACCAACUCAUCCACAGUGGAAUUAAACCGUACAACUGUGACUUGUGUGGAGAGUUUUUUACCCACGCUGAAAGCUUAAAAAGACAUCAACUCAUCCACAGUGAAGUUAAACCGUACACCUGUGACCUGUGUGGAAAAUCUUUUACCCAGGCUGAAAGCUUAAAAACACACCAACUCAUCCACAGUGGAGUUAAAGCGUACAGCUGUGACCUGUGUGGAAAAUUUUUUACCCAGGCUCGACACUUAAAAAAACACCAACUCAUCCACAGUGGAGUUAAAGCGUACAGCUGCGAUCAGUGUGGUAAAGCUUUUACUCACAGUAGCCACUUACGGCUUCAUCUAGUUACACACUCUGGAAUUAACGCGUACAGCUGUGACAUUUGUGGAAAAACUUUCAGUCGCCAAGGGGACCGAAAUAGGCACCUACGCAUUCACACUAGACAUGAUGUUUACUGCUGUGAUCAGUGUUGGAAACCGUUUACAACAGAUGCACAGUUACAAAGCCACAUGUUUACCCACACUGAGGAAAGACCUUAUAAAUGUGACCUGUGUGAGAAGACUUUUAAAUCUCCACGUUACCUGAAAAUACACCAACAGAUCCACACCAGAAAGAAACUCUACAAGUGCAGUUACUGUGUGAAGCAGAACGACACAGAUGGAUCCAGUUCUCAACCCUGUCAUCACUGUGGAGGUGGGAAAGCGUUUCGUUGUGACCUUUGUGGAAAAACUUUCAAUCAGCAACGAAGCCUAAAAAUGCAUCAGCGUAAACACACUGAAGACAAAAUGAUCUACUGUAAAGAAUGUGGAAGAGGCUUCCCCACUCAAUCUGAUUUUAAACAACAUGAAAUCUUCCACAGUGGGGUUAAAAAGCACGCCUGUAACCAGUGUGCAUACUUCUCCACCUCUACAGGUCAGCUUAAAAGACAUAAACGAGUCCACACAGGAGAGAAACCAUACAAGUGUAGACACUGUAACAAAAGGUUCUCAGAAUCGAGCAGUCGUAACAAUCAUGAACGUACACACAUUGAAGGGAACUUCAGCUGUGACCAGUGUGACAAGAGCUUCAAGAAUAUCAGUUCAUACUCCAAACACAAACGAUCCCAUUCUCAUUAUUCAUUAUCUGCUCUGUGCAAUCAGAGUAAGCGUGAUCAUGAAAUCAUUCCUAUUACUGAAUCACAAUGACUCUGCAGAGACAGAAAGUUCCUCUUCUGGUUUCAGGGUCAGACUUAAAAACCUUGAGAUCAGGCUCCACAGAGUUCAGAUGGAAUCUCCUGUAAAGAGUGUCAGCUGAUGUCAGACUUGGAUCUCAUAAGGUAGCUCUGAUUUCUGGACCUGCAGUAAAUAAUCCUGAAUCUUAAAUUUGAUGAGCUGCAAGUAUAGAUGUGUACAUCAAGUUUUUGUGUUUUAAUUUUAAUGCAUUUUAUUGCUCUGAAACGUUAUUCCUGUUACAUUUUACAUAAUUCCCCCUCAGAAAACAGUAGUGUUUAGUUGUAGUACUUGUAUUAUAAAGUUACAGAAAUAUCUUUUAAAGCCAGCUGAUAAGUAUCAGUCUUGGUAGCCGGGGAUCGGUCUGCUCUCAUUGUAGUGUUUUUUUUUUUUUUUUAGUUUAAAGAAUAUGAUAAGUGGUAAGACAAUGAAUUUUACUUCUCACUGUCACUGUACAUGUUAUGUAGCAGUAUCCAUUUUAUCAUGCAUGUAUGCUACUUUUCUCUGCUGGCUGGAAAUGGUUUUUCUUUUGUUUUCAUGAAAUAAACUAGACUAAAUUAGA
Molecule: long non-coding RNA, 1990 nt
Organism: Oreochromis aureus
Lineage: Eukaryota; Metazoa; Chordata; Actinopteri; Cichliformes; Cichlidae
Exons: 2
Source: RefSeq, a predicted model, not a curated record